AACGAGCACAGGCUGUGCUGUUAUGAAACCAGUGGGAAAAUAAAUCUCCUGUAUUGUUUAUAUAUUUCGUGUGUUAAUGUCUCUAUGUGAUAGAAUUAUUAUUAUUAUUGAUACAAAUAAUUCUAGCCGGCUCAGCCAAACUUUAUCAGAUGGCGGCUCAAUUUGGCUUAGGAAAUUAUUGGCUGGCGGCAACUGAAAUUCUAAAUGGCGCAAAUGGCGGCGGCUUCGGGGUCUAGUUUGACUAACCAGGCGACCGGAAGCUACAGGUACAAACAUGGAACUACUGGGGUUCUGACGAAGACCGUGACUCCUCUGAACCUGGAGGUGGUGGAGGAAAGCGUGCAGACUAUGGACACCUCCUGAGAUGACACAACCCACCACACUUUGAUCUGUUUGUUUCCCCCAUAACCAUUGACCUCAAGUCUUGUGUGGUGGUUUAAAAAGUUUUCAUUAUUUCCAAUAAAAGUUUCCAAACGUUGCGAA
Long non-coding RNA from Carassius auratus (goldfish), 483 nucleotides. RefSeq lists it as uncharacterized. The transcript is spliced from 2 exons. The record is from RefSeq and is a predicted model, not a curated record. NCBI's taxonomy places the organism in Eukaryota, Metazoa, Chordata, Actinopteri, Cypriniformes, Cyprinidae.